CCUCAUUUGUGGGUAGAUGUCAAGGCUUACAUCAUUAGUUCCUCCUUUGACACAGUAAAUUCUAACUGGAAUAGUCAUGGCACUAUUUAAAUCAUAUGUAUAUUAGCAGAAGGGUGGUAACAUACACUAAAAUAUGGUAAUUCGUCUCAGGUUUCAGUAUAUUGGCCCUUUUUACCUAGCUUCUUUCCCCUUUCACCUAUACUCCUGUCUUGGCUGGGUGUAGAAAUGCUACUCUUCGAGGACUAUUAACUCCCUGGCUUCACAUAAAUGAGGAGUAAUUUUUUCCCCCUGGAAUAUCUGGGAAAUUAGAAAUGCCAUUUCUCCAGCUAGAAGUCCAUAAGUCAACUCAUUACUGUGAAAGGUAAAAAUGUUUUUGUUUUGUAUAGAUAUAAUGGUGGGUACCAUGUGCAAAAUUCUUCCAAAAUAAUUUCAGUAGAUUAUUAUUGAGUUUAACUCAGUAAACACUUCCUGCUCUUCUCAGAAGCACACUUGUGAUAAUCAUUUUCAUAAGCUUGAAAAAUAACUAUUUUAAGAUGACAGUUUUAAUGUAUUUGCUUACACUCUAGUAGUUCCCCAGGGCUGAGGACAUGUUGAAUAUUUUAAAACAUUUUAGCUCUCUAACCUGUAAACAAAUUUUAAAAAUAUUCAAUUCCCUAGUGAGACAUUUCAUUGUGACAUUUCAUGAACCUCUGUUUUCUCCUCAGGGCCAACAGCAUUUAAUUGGCUGGUGUUAUGUAAUGUAUACUACGGGGAAAUCACUAGGAAGAGAAGAAAUAGACAAGAAGAUAUUCCCUGUGAUGAGAAUUCAAAGCCAACUUUCAGAGAGACAAUCUCUUUAA
RNAcentral lists this long non-coding RNA (839 nucleotides) under Sus scrofa (pig). RNAcentral describes it as "lncRNA (ENSSSCG00030013298.1)". Lineage: Eukaryota; Metazoa; Chordata; Mammalia; Artiodactyla; Suidae. The record is from RNAcentral.